AGCUAAUGCACGGGGAGCUUGCGCAAAGCUUGCUGAGAGUAGGAUGUGUUCCUUGACCCGCAACCUGAUUUGGAUAAUGCCAACGUAGGGACUUGUAAAAACAAACCUCU
This 110-nucleotide non-coding RNA is filed under the name Treponema succinifaciens. RNAcentral describes it as "TPP sequence". It matches the Rfam family "TPP riboswitch aptamer (THI element)". From Rfam's summary of the family: Vitamin B(1) in its active form thiamin pyrophosphate (TPP) is an essential coenzyme that is synthesised by coupling of pyrimidine and thiazole moieties in bacteria. Lineage: Bacteria; Pseudomonadati; Spirochaetota; Spirochaetia; Treponematales; Treponemataceae. RNAcentral also lists the same sequence under 1 other name. The record is from RNAcentral.